AUUCCGCCCGCCCCCGCUCACUCGCGGACACCCAAGCUGCCCCCAACCCUGUUUCCUUGGACUUCUGGCAACUGAAGUGAGGGCGGAUCCAGUGCCCACUCCCUGCACCCCCCACCGCCUGCCGGUCCCACCACUGCCACCUCCGGAGUCCCGCUCUGCUACUUCUUCAGGCUCUUACCGACUGCGCCAGCCCUGGCGAAGCUCCGCGAACUGCCCUUUGCUAGAAGUAAUUUUUGGCGAUUUUUUAAUGAUUUUUCGGCGAAGUCUUAGUGGCGCUAUACUCUCGGACAGGUUAUCCCGUCUCUCCCGCUAGAUUGAUGAGAUCAGGCAUCACUCGAAAAUGGCGCCGAAAGCGCUGAGGCUCCUCAUUCAAAUUCUUUAGAGCCAACCCCGCCGCCCCGGGGCAUGCCGGGAACGCGGGCUGCCUCCACAGCUGUCAAUAUAGCCUGUCAACCCCCCGCCUCUUGCUUUCCCGACAGUUUUGCGCAUGCGCAAACUCCUGCCCCAAGCCCCAGGCCUACACAUGCGCAUAAUCAUCCUUGUUCGCCGCUCUCCCUUCGCUUCCUUGGUCGCAGCUGUCCCACCUCUUUUCUUGCGCGUGCGUGCAGCGCUUUCUAUAUUCAGCAGCGGAGGUGAAGCGACCGUGAGGACUGUCAGCCCAAAGGUCCAUAGGUCCGUAUCUAAAUAGACACUUAUUCCACUGUUCGAGGUAAACAAACAAGAAAGGGUACAGCUAAGGCGAAAACAAAAGCGACUUUCAGCCAGUGCCUAGACUCCAAGCAGCGAAUUUGUUUCUGAGACCUUGUGUAUGGAUACACGUGUACUUAAAACAGCCCCGCCAAAGUACUGAGCGCUCGCUGUAGUCCAACGUUUUACAUGAACUAUCGCUGUUAAACCUCAGAACAACUUUAUCAGAGAAAGUGGUUGUUGUGUUCAUUAAUUAAAUGCCAGUGAUGCGUGUGAUAAAGUCAUUAUUCUGAAGGCAAUUCUGGCUGUAAUACCUGGAAUGGCUUACACUGAAGACAGAAUGAUGGCGAGAAACCAAUUAUGAAGAUUCUACAUUGUUUCAGUGGUUCAAGUGAAAAAGGGGCCUGGGAAUGGAGAGUAUAGUGUUCAUAAUGAUGACCCUAAGUCACUAAGAAAAGAUUAAAUUAUGUUGUUAAUGCUGUAAAUAUUUUCUUAAAAAUAAUUUUUUAAAGUUUUAGGUUAGGAAUAAGCAAAAACAAGACGGUGCCUUGGAGCUCAGUACUUAGCUUUUUUCAUUUGUAUAUUUUAUAGUAGUAAUUAUAUAAAGGCUUUUUGUUGUUAUUGGCUGCUGUCAAGUUGGCACCUGACUCAAUGACCCCACGCACAAUAGAGCAAAACACUGCCCAGUCCUACCCAUCUCCAUGAUUGGCUGCAGAUCGGACCAUUACGAUCCAUAGGAUUUUCACUGACUGAUUUUCAGAAAUAGAUAACUAGGCCUUUCUUCCUAGUCUGUCUUAGUUUGAAAGCUCCCCUGGAAUCUGGUCAGCAUCAGAGCAACAUAACAAGCCUCCACUGAAGGACAAGUUGUGACUGCAUAGUGCAUUGACCAGGAAUUGAACCCUGGACUCCUGCACGGAAAGCAUACAGCUGAGGACAGUAUCAUUUUAGAAUGCAAUACAGAGAAGACAUGAGGCAGACUGCUGGGAAAUGAAAAAGCCAGAAUAAAAAUAAACAAAUCAGUGCUUCCUAAAUGAAGACUUCUUUGGUAGAAGAAAGAAUAUAGAUCACAAGGUGAGUUAGCAGAGGUCCCUGAUUUGUAAUUUUUUAAGAUUUCCAUCUAGUGAUAUUCUAAGAUACUUAUCAAAUUAUGAGUUUUAUCAUUUCUUCUUAAAUCUAAAAACAAGCCAGGAGUUCAAGGAGUAGGCACAGAGUGACCCUAUUUUAUUCUGUAAGCUUCUGGUUCGAGCUGUUAGGCAGACAAAAGAGAUUCAUAUAGCUUUUAUGCUCUCUUCUUAUAAAUGACAUAUUUGGUCAUAAAUGCUAAUAUUUCAGGAAUGGGAAGGAUUUGACCUGGUCUUGUCUAAUAAGGUUUACUCAAGAAUAAUGCACUUAUGUUGUUAGCUGUAGGUUCAAGCAUUAGUUCUUGCUCCUACUCGGCAGUCUGGUAUUGGCAUAUAAAGGAGUUACAUCAAAUUUAGUUUUAGCCUGCCAAUCUAUCUGGUAUAGCAUUAUCCUUCAUAUUCAGUUUAAAAAUCAUGGGGCUCUAAAAUCAACAUAACAAAGUAUUAAUAGGCUUAUACAGGCAGAGUAAUAACUGUGUUACAAGAAACUGAGCAGAGAUUAAGUGUCUAUGGUUUGAAUUACAUAUUCUCACUAGGAAUGUGUUUUGUAAUUGUGAUUUUUCAGGUGAUUCAUUUUAAACCGUUAGAAAAUUGUGAGGGAGAAAGGGAAGGGAUAAUAUCCAAGUUAGAUGUAUAAUUCACUUGGUUACCAGGGGAUUUUAAAUUACUUUUUCUCGGUUACAUUUUCAUUUGGUAGACUUAACAGUUUUCUGUCUUCCAUUUUACUUUGUAAAAAAGCAUGGCCGUGCACAGGUGAGAAAACUGAGGCUCAAACAGGUUGUGUUUUAAUAUGUGGAGGAGUCUGAUGUGUAUCCAAGUUUAUCUGUCCCUGAUAUCUAUGUUUUUAACCACUGUUCUUAGAAUAAAAUACAUUGGUGUAUUAUAGAACAAUUCUUACCGACACUCAUCUCUGCCCACAAAAAGAAUUACUGAAACACCCACCAUCCUCAAUUUCUUUCUUUCCCUCCCUCUCACUUUUUCUUUUCAGAGUGCUCUGUAGUUUUUAAUGCCAGUAAAUAUUCUAAAAUUAUUUCUUUCAUUAGGAAGGGGAUUAAAUAUGUUGCCAAAGUCGUCUAGCCUUAUGCAGAACUACAUCCUAAACUUAUCCUGUGGUAUGUUAUUCAGCUACUGCAUUAUAGUUCCUUAAAUAAUGAGCUCUAGACUGAGCACUGCUUAACAAAUCAUAUGAGCAAGACCCAAAGAAUCAAACUUUUCCAUGUAGCUCAACUGUAUCCCAGAACAAAACUCAAUAAUAUUUAUAGGAAUAGAAAAAUAUCCAGUGCCCAACAAGAUAAAAUUCACAUUGCCUUGUAUCCAAUCAAAUCACACUUCUAGAGAUAAAAAUGACAGUGUUUGAGAUGAAAAAUUCACUGAAUGACAUUAAUGGCAGAUUACACAUUGCAGAAGAAGAUAUUUAUGAACUUGAAGAGACAGCAGUAGAAACCAUCCAAAUGAAAUGGAAAAAAAAUGAAUUAAAAAAAAACCAAACAAAACAUUGAUGAGCUGUGAGAAUAAUGUCUAGAGGCUUCAUAUAUGCAAAUGGAGCCCCCAGAGAGAGGAGAGAGGUAGGGGAACAAGAGAUAUUUGAAAAAUAAUGCCCAAAAUGUUCUAACUUUGAUGAAAACUAUUAAAGAACCCAAGAAACUUCUUGCAUCCCAAGCAUAUGCACACACACACAAAGAAGAAAACCCACACCAGCGUACAUCAGAAUCACACAGCUCAAGAUCAGCGAUGGAUGACAGAUUUCUCAUCAAAAACACUGCAAGUGCAAAGACAGUGGGACAACAUCUUUAAAGUUCUAAAAGAAAAACACCCUUAACCUAGAAUUCUAUACCCAACAAAAUAUUCAAAAAUAAAAACAAAGAUGUUUUUAGAGCUAGGAAAACUGAAGUAAUUUAUUGCUAGCAGACCUGUACAACAAGAAAUGUUAAAGUCAUUCAGGAAGAAGGAAAAUGAUACCAAAUAGAAAUACUGAUCUUCUCAAAGAAAUGAAGAGCACUGGAAAUGGUAAUUACAUGGAUAAAUAUAUAGGAUUUUUUUCUUAUUAUUUAACCUCUUUUAAAAAGAACCAACUAAACAACAGUACUUACAGCAUUGUGGGAUUUACAAUAUGCAUAAAUAAAAUAUAUGACAACGAAAUAAAAUAAAGGCUGGGGGUGAAAUAGAAUGUACUAUCGUGAGGCUCUUCUGCUAUAUGUAAAGUGGUAUAAUAUCAUUUGAAGGUAGAAUGUAAUAAGUUAGAGUUGUAAACUUUUACCCCUAUAUAAGGUCCCUGGGUGGCACAAACGGUUUGCUCUUGAGUACUAACUGAAAUGUUGAUGGUUCAGAUCCACCCACUGACACCAUGGAAGAAAGGCCUUAUGGUUUGCUUGUGUAAAAAUUAUAGCCAAGAAAACCCUAUGGUGCAAUUAUACUCUGUAAUACAUGGGGUGUCAUGAAUCAGCUUGACUCAAUAGCAUUGGGUUUGGUUUUGGUUUUUUUUUAACACCUAAAGCAACCAGUCCAGUUGGGCCAAUCAUGAUAAAUGGAGAAAAGACUGAAGUUGUCAAGGAUUUCAUUUUACUUGGAUCUAUAAUCGACGGCACUGGGGUCUGGGGUGGGAUAAUCAACACCCAUGGAAGCAGCAGUCAAGAAAUCAAAAGGUGCAUUGCAUUGGGCAAAUCUGCUGUAAAAGACCUCUUUAAAGUGUUGAAGAGCAAGGAUGUCACCUUGAGGACUAUGGAGCGCCUCACACAAGCCAUGGUGUUUUCAAUCACCUCAUAUGCAUGCAAAAACUAGACAAUGAAUAAGGAAGACCGAAGAAGAAUUGACGCUUCUGAAUUGUGUUAGCGAAGAAUACUGAAUAUACCACGGACUGCCAAAAGAAUGAACAAAUACGUCUCGGAAGAAGUACAACCAGAAUGCUUCUAAGAAACAAGGAUGGCAAGACUACGUCUCACAUACUUUGGACACGUUGGAGGGAUCAGUCCCUGGAGAAGGACAUCACACUUGAUAAACUAGAGGGUCAGCGAAAAAGAGGAAGACCCUCAAUGAGGUGGAUUGACACAGUGGUUGCAACGAUGGGUUCAGGCAUAGCAACAAUUUUGAGGAUGGUGCAGGACCUGGCAGUGUUUCGUUCUCUUACACAUAGGGUUGCUAUGGGUUGGAACAGAAACAACAAGGCAACCCGUAGAAUAACAAAAUAGUUAUAGCUAAUAAGUCAACAAAGGAGAUAAAAUGGAAUCAUAAAAUAUACUUCAUCCAGGGGAUUCUGGGAAGAUGGCAGCAUAAGUGCAUCUAAGAACCUGACCCUUGCCUCACAACCAACAAGAAAAGCAACUAGAAGUCUGUAGUCAGCCCUGUUAGAAUUCUGAAAUGGUGAGCAAAGACCUACAUCAGGGAGCUUCAUACUGAAUCAAAAGAAGAGCAAAUA
Long non-coding RNA from Loxodonta africana (African savanna elephant), 5220 nucleotides. RefSeq lists it as uncharacterized. NCBI's taxonomy places the organism in Eukaryota, Metazoa, Chordata, Mammalia, Proboscidea, Elephantidae. The record is from RefSeq and is a predicted model, not a curated record. The transcript is spliced from 4 exons.